UAGGUAGGUGGCAAGCGUUGUCCGGAUUUAUUGGGUUUAAAGGGGGCGUAGGCGGUUUUAUAAGUCAGUGGUGAAAUACGGCAGCUUAACUGUCGAGGUGCCAUUGAUACUGUAAGACUCGAGUACUGAUGAGGUAGGCGGAAUUGACGGUGUAGCGGUGAAAUGCUUAGAUAUCGUCAAGAACACCGAUAGCGAAGGCAGCUUACUAAGGAGUAACUGACGCUGAUGCACGAAAUUGUGGGGAUCAAACAGG
Molecule: ribosomal RNA, 253 nt
Filed under: uncultured bacterium
Lineage: Bacteria
Description: partial 16S ribosomal RNA
Rfam family: Bacterial small subunit ribosomal RNA
Source: RNAcentral